RNAcentral lists this long non-coding RNA (1132 nucleotides) under Daphnia pulex (common water flea). Its description in RNAcentral is "uncharacterized LOC124195469, transcript variant X2". Lineage: Eukaryota; Metazoa; Arthropoda; Branchiopoda; Diplostraca; Daphniidae. The record is from RNAcentral.
CCGAAAUGAAAAUAAUAAUCGAACUUUUUAUUCUUUUUUAAUAUGACAACUUUGGAUCCUUAGCAGACGACAGUAGAAACCAGAAACAUUUUAACUUUUUUUCAAAAGUUCCAACAAUUUUCAUGCAUGGUCUCAUGCACGUGCCUUACUUAGAUUGUUUUACCUUCACCUCUCAGGGUAUGGAGAGGUGGGCUCUCGAGACAUGGGCUCUCCAUGCCCAUGUCAUGAGUGAUGACACAGAAACAACUUCAUUGGUUGAUUCCAGCUGUUUCACUUCUCUGUUCCAGCUGCUUGAGAAAAUGAGGAUGCUCAGAUGGAAUGUAACAUUCUGUGCAGCGUUCUUUUAAUGUAAAGAUGGGUUUGCAGUGCUGUCUUUCAGUCCGUCAGGCGUAGCAAGGCCACCUCCCUUCAGACCAUCCUCAAUUAACAUUUGUUGACUGCUGCAUCAACACAGCUACUUAAUUAAAGGUUUGUGAAGAUCAGCUUCAUCUAAAAGUGAGAACUCUAAUUCUAUCGCAUCCCUAACCCUAAGUUGAGCUCCUGGUCCUGGUCUUCUAGCGUUUUCGCCAUGGCUCCUUAUUAAACUACGUGGUGCCAGUUGCUUAAAGGAGUCGUUUGCUUACAUUUCAAUCGCCCAAGAUGUCUGCCCAACAUUUACAGCUCAUCCAGCUUCUUACAAGCAGACUACUAUACACAUACUAAUCCUACACUUAACGCCCUGUACUAACUACUACACAUAUAACAAUUUUCUAAAUGGCUUUGGCAGUUUGGGGACUGUCUGAACAACUGACUGCGGCUUGGGCGGUAAAAAAAGGCUAAAUUUCUGAACAACGUUUCGCAAAUGUGAAAUAUUUUCUUAGAGGUAAUGACUUUUUCUUUUAAUUCUUCGUUUUUUGAUGGUCGUUCACAUGCAGAGUUCUGACGUAGAUUUUAUCGGCCGUAGCUAUUAACGUAAUCUUGUGAAUUUUCUCGAACUAACCAACUAUCAUAAUUUAUUUUUAAAUAUUUUUAAAGAAUCAGUCUUAUGAGUUAAUGAUUUUCAUACAUUCCUGUCGUAGCAUUUAGAACUUUUCACUUAUCGGACUGCCCUCUGCAAUUCUGAAUGUGUCGUAGAUUCGAAUAAGCUCUCAAU